RNAcentral lists this ribosomal RNA (410 nucleotides) under uncultured Flavobacteriia bacterium. RNAcentral describes it as "bacterial SSU rRNA". It matches the Rfam family "Bacterial small subunit ribosomal RNA", at positions 370 to 779 of the family's 1533-position model. Lineage: Bacteria; Pseudomonadati; Bacteroidota; Flavobacteriia. The record is from RNAcentral.
AAUGGACGAAAGUCUGACGCAGCCAUGCCGCGUGAAGGAUGACUGCCUAUGGGUUGUAAACUUCUUUUAUAUACCAAGAACCUUGGGACGUGUCCCGAGCUGACGGUAGUAUAUGAAUAAGCACCGGCUAACUCCGUGCCAGCAGCCGCGGUAAUACGGAGGGUGCAAGCGUUAUCCGGAUUUAUUGGGUUUAAAGGGUCCGUAGGUGGACCAUUAAGUCAGAGGUGAAAGCCCGCGGCUCAACCGCGGAAUUGCCUUUGAUACUGGUGGUCUUGAGUGUGCUCGAAGUUGGCGGAAUAUGACAUGUAGCGGUGAAAUGCUUAGAUAUGUCAUAGAACACCGAUUGCGAAGGCAGCCAACUAGGUCACAACUGACACUGAGGGACGAAAGCGUGGGGAGCGAACAGGAUU